Molecule: long non-coding RNA, 316 nt
Filed under: Gossypium raimondii (Peruvian cotton)
Lineage: Eukaryota; Viridiplantae; Streptophyta; Magnoliopsida; Malvales; Malvaceae
Description: long non-coding RNA (GRAI_LNC001652)
Source: RNAcentral
CUCGAUGAUGAAAUUUUAAAAGAUUAUGAAGGGCAAAAUGAUCAAUUAGAGAGAGAGAGAGAGAAAUCUAGAAGGUAAUUGUAAUAGGCCUAUUUUGCCUAAACCCAAUUAAAAUACAAAAAUCCAAAAAAUAAAAGUCCAAAUAAGAAAUAAAAUAGCAGCCCAAUCAGAAACCCAAGUAAUUACAAUAAAUAACCCCAAACCCAAAACAAAACAGCAAGCCCAACUAACCCAAUAACAAACCCUAGCCCACAAAAACAAAAAAGAAAAAGAAACCCUAAGCAGGGGAAAACAGCAGCAGCCGCCUCCAUCUCCA